This 1424-nucleotide ribosomal RNA is filed under the name Pediococcus pentosaceus. RNAcentral describes it as "bacterial SSU rRNA". It matches the Rfam family "Bacterial small subunit ribosomal RNA". Lineage: Bacteria; Bacillati; Bacillota; Bacilli; Lactobacillales; Lactobacillaceae. The record is from RNAcentral.
ACGAACUUCCGUUAAUUGAUUAUGACGUACUUGUACUGAUUGAGAUUUUAACACGAAGUGAGUGGCGAACGGGUGAGUAACACGUGGGUAACCUGCCCAGAAGUAGGGGAUAACACCUGGAAACAGAUGCUAAUACCGUAUAACAGAGAAAACCGCAUGGUUUUCUUUUAAAAGAUGGCUCUGCUAUCACUUCUGGAUGGACCCGCGGCGUAUUAGCUAGUUGGUGAGGUAAAGGCUCACCAAGGCAGUGAUACGUAGCCGACCUGAGAGGGUAAUCGGCCACAUUGGGACUGAGACACGGCCCAGACUCCUACGGGAGGCAGCAGUAGGGAAUCUUCCACAAUGGACGCAAGUCUGAUGGAGCAACGCCGCGUGAGUGAAGAAGGGUUUCGGCUCGUAAAGCUCUGUUGUUAAAGAAGAACGUGGGUAAGAGUAACUGUUUACCCAGUGACGGUAUUUAACCAGAAAGCCACGGCUAACUACGUGCCAGCAGCCGCGGUAAUACGUAGGUGGCAAGCGUUAUCCGGAUUUAUUGGGCGUAAAGCGAGCGCAGGCGGUCUUUUAAGUCUAAUGUGAAAGCCUUCGGCUCAACCGAAGAAGUGCAUUGGAAACUGGGAGACUUGAGUGCAGAAGAGGACAGUGGAACUCCAUGUGUAGCGGUGAAAUGCGUAGAUAUAUGGAAGAACACCAGUGGCGAAGGCGGCUGUCUGGUCUGCAACUGACGCUGAGGCUCGAAAGCAUGGGUAGCGAACAGGAUUAGAUACCCUGGUAGUCCAUGCCGUAAACGAUGAUUACUAAGUGUUGGAGGGUUUCCGCCCUUCAGUGCUGCAGCUAACGCAUUAAGUAAUCCGCCUGGGGAGUACGACCGCAAGGUUGAAACUCAAAAGAAUUGACGGGGGCCCGCACAAGCGGUGGAGCAUGUGGUUUAAUUCGAAGCUACGCGAAGAACCUUACCAGGUCUUGACAUCUUCUGACAGUCUAAGAGAUUAGAGGUUCCCUUCGGGGACAGAAUGACAGGUGGUGCAUGGUUGUCGUCAGCUCGUGUCGUGAGAUGUUGGGUUAAGUCCCGCAACGAGCGCAACCCUUAUUACUAGUUGCCAGCAUUAAGUUGGGCACUCUAGUGAGACUGCCGGUGACAAACCGGAGGAAGGUGGGGACGACGUCAAAUCAUCAUGCCCCUUAUGACCUGGGCUACACACGUGCUACAAUGGAUGGUACAACGAGUCGCGAGACCGCGAGGUUAAGCUAAUCUCUUAAAACCAUUCUCAGUUCGGACUGUAGGCUGCAACUCGCCUACACGAAGUCGGAAUCGCUAGUAAUCGCGGAUCAGCAUGCCGCGGUGAAUACGUUCCCGGGCCUUGUACACACCGCCCGUCACACCAUGAGAGUUUGUAACACCCAAAGCCGGUGGGGUAACCUUUUAG